Jaculus jaculus (lesser Egyptian jerboa) is the source of this 127-nucleotide small nuclear RNA. Its record names the gene U2. It matches the Rfam family "U2 spliceosomal RNA". From Rfam's summary of the family: U2 is a small nuclear RNA (snRNA) component of the spliceosome (involved in pre-mRNA splicing). Complementary binding between U2 snRNA (in an area lying towards the 5' end but 3' to hairpin I) and the branchpoint sequence (BPS) of the intron results the bulging out of an unpaired adenosine, on the BPS, which initiates a nucleophilic attack at the intronic 5' splice site, thus starting the first of two transesterification reactions that mediate splicing. The record is from Ensembl. Lineage: Eukaryota; Metazoa; Chordata; Mammalia; Rodentia; Dipodidae.
UAUCUGAUAUGUUCUCUAUCCGAGGACAAUAUAUUAAAUGGAUUUUUGAAGCUUGGAGUUGGAAUAGGAGCUUACUCCGUCCACUCCACACAUCGACCUGGUAUUGCAGUACUUCCAGGAAUGGUGC